Molecule: transfer RNA, 79 nt
Filed under: Scedosporium apiospermum
Lineage: Eukaryota; Fungi; Ascomycota; Sordariomycetes; Microascales; Microascaceae
Rfam family: tRNA
About the family: Transfer RNA (tRNA) molecules are approximately 80 nucleotides in length. Their secondary structure includes four short double-helical elements and three loops (D, anti-codon, and T loops). Further hydrogen bonds mediate the characteristic L-shaped molecular structure. tRNAs have two regions of fundamental functional importance: the anti-codon, which is responsible for specific mRNA codon recognition, and the 3' end, to which the tRNAs corresponding amino acid is attached (by aminoacyl-tRNA synthetases). tRNAs cope with the degeneracy of the genetic code in two manners: having more than one tRNA (with a specific anti-codon) for a particular amino acid; and 'wobble' base-pairing, i.e. permitting non-standard base-pairing at the 3rd anti-codon position.
Source: Rfam by way of RNAcentral
GACGCGGUGGCAGAGUGGUUAAUGCGUGAGGCUUGGAAUCUCAUCUCUCAGGAGGCGUGUUCGAAUCAGGCCCGCGUCG